RNAcentral lists this ribosomal RNA (505 nucleotides) under uncultured bacterium. Its description in RNAcentral is "partial 16S ribosomal RNA". It matches the Rfam family "Bacterial small subunit ribosomal RNA", at positions 28 to 507 of the family's 1533-position model. The record is from RNAcentral.
GACGAACGCUGGCGGCGUGCCUAAUACAUGCAAGUAGAACGCACAGUUUAUACCGUAGCUUGCUACACCAUAGACUGUGAGUUGCGAACGGGUGAGUAACGCGUAGGUAAUCUGCCUGGUAGCGGGGGAUAACUAUUGGAAACGAUAGCUAAUACCGCAUAAUAUUAAUUAUUGCAUGAUAAUUAAUUGAUAGGUGCAAUUGCACCACUACCAGCUGGACCUUCGUUGUAUUAGCUAGUAGGUGAGGUAACGGCUCACCUAGGCGACGAUACAUAGCCGACCUGAGAGGGUGGACGGCCACACUGGGACUGGGACACGGCCCAAGCUCCUACGGGAAGCAGCAGUAGGGAAUCUUCGGCAAUGGACGAAAGUCUGACCGAGCAACGCCGCGUGAGGGAAGAAGGUUUUCGGGUCGUAAAGCUCUUUUGUAAGGGAAGAACGGGUGUGAGAGUGGAAAGUUCACACUGUGACGGUAUCUUACCAGAAAGGGACGGCUAACUACGUG